GGUCUCAUGGUGUAACGGUUAGCACUCUGGACUCUGAAUCCAGUGAUCUGAGUUCAAUUCUCGGUGAGACCU
RNAcentral lists this transfer RNA (72 nucleotides) under Rhipicephalus microplus (southern cattle tick). RNAcentral describes it as "tRNA-Gln". It matches the Rfam family "tRNA". Rfam says of the family: Transfer RNA (tRNA) molecules are approximately 80 nucleotides in length. Lineage: Eukaryota; Metazoa; Arthropoda; Arachnida; Ixodida; Ixodidae. The record is from Rfam by way of RNAcentral.